Molecule: small RNA, 107 nt
Filed under: Marmota monax (woodchuck)
Lineage: Eukaryota; Metazoa; Chordata; Mammalia; Rodentia; Sciuridae
Source: RNAcentral
GCCGGGUGUGGUGGGGCACACCUGUAAUCCCAGUUACUUGGGAGGCUGAGGCAAGAGAAUUGCAAGUUUGAGGUCAGCCUAGGCGAUUUACAAAGACCCUGUCUCAA